This is a non-coding RNA of Anolis sagrei ordinatus, 414 nucleotides long. The record is from the annotation of a RefSeq genome assembly. Lineage: Eukaryota; Metazoa; Chordata; Lepidosauria; Squamata; Anolidae.
GCACACAGCAACUAAGAUCCAGUCCAUCCUUUGGCAAUGCAAGUCCUCUUUUCAGUUCUCAUUGCCCUGACUGCCUCCUCCUCAUGUGUCCUCUCACAAGUGGUGCUGACCCAGUCAGAUUCGGUGUUAACAAAACCUGGAGAAUCCUAUAAGUUGACCUGUGCCACCAGUGGAUUCACUCUUAGUAACUACUGGAUGCACUGGGUCAGAGAAAAAACAGGCAAACGAUUGGAAUGGCUUGUUCAGUAUUAUAAUGCUCGGGGCAACUACUAUUCCCCUUCAGUCCAGGGAAGAUUCACAGCCUCUAAGGACAGCACCAACUUCUAUCUGCAAAUGAACAACCUCAAAGCAGAAGACACUGCGGUCUAUUACUGUGGAAGAGACACGGUGAAAGGGAUCCCAGAAGACCUCUGA